AUCGCUUCUCGGCCUUUUGGCUAAGAUCAAGUGUAGUAUCUGUUCUUAUCAGUUUAAAAAAUAAAAAGAGAGAGAGAGAAAAAGCAAGUCAGGAAGGGACAGAGAGAAGGAGACAGAGGAUCUGAAGUAGGCUCUGUGUGGAGAGCAGAAAGCUCGAUGUAGGGCUCAAACUCAA
Molecule: small nuclear RNA, 175 nt
Filed under: Suricata suricatta (meerkat)
Lineage: Eukaryota; Metazoa; Chordata; Mammalia; Carnivora; Herpestidae
Description: U2 spliceosomal RNA (ENSSSUG00005011851.1)
Rfam family: U2 spliceosomal RNA
About the family: U2 is a small nuclear RNA (snRNA) component of the spliceosome (involved in pre-mRNA splicing). Complementary binding between U2 snRNA (in an area lying towards the 5' end but 3' to hairpin I) and the branchpoint sequence (BPS) of the intron results the bulging out of an unpaired adenosine, on the BPS, which initiates a nucleophilic attack at the intronic 5' splice site, thus starting the first of two transesterification reactions that mediate splicing.
Source: Rfam by way of RNAcentral